GGCAGGCCUAACACAUGCAAGUCCAGCGCGCCCUUCGGGGUGAGCGGCGGACGGGCUUAGUAACGCGUGGGUAACGUGCCCUUCUCUAAGGAAUAGCCACUGGAAACGGUGAGUAAUACCUUAUACGCCCUUCGGGGGAAAGAUUUAUCGGAGAAGGAUCGGCCCGCGUUAGAUUAGAUAGUUGGUGGGGUAACGGCCUACCAAGUCUACGAUCUAUAGCUGGUUUUAGAGGAUGAUCACCAACACUGGGACUGAGACACGGCCCAUACUCCUACGGGAGGCAGCAGUGGGGAAUCUUGGACAAUGGGCGCAAGCCUGAUCCAGCCAUGCCGCGUGAGUGAUGAAGGCCUUAGGGUCGUAAAGCUCUUUCGCCAGAGAUGAUAAUGACAGUAUCUGGUAAAGAAACCCCGGCUAACUCCGUGCCAGCAGCCGCGGUAAAACGGAGGGGGUUAGCGUUGUUCGGAAUUACUGGGCGUAAAG
RNAcentral lists this ribosomal RNA (480 nucleotides) under marine sediment bacterium ISA-7303. Its description in RNAcentral is "bacterial SSU rRNA". It matches the Rfam family "Bacterial small subunit ribosomal RNA", at positions 41 to 565 of the family's 1533-position model. The record is from RNAcentral.